UGCAUCGAUGAAGAACNGUAGCAAACUGCGAUACCUUGGUGUGAAUUGCAGAAUCCCGUGAACCAUSGAGUCUUUGAACGCAAGUUGCGCCCGAAGCCAUUAGGCCGAGGGCACGUCUGCCUGGGCGUCACGC
This 133-nucleotide ribosomal RNA is filed under the name Strychnos chlorantha. RNAcentral describes it as "partial 5.8S ribosomal RNA". It matches the Rfam family "5.8S ribosomal RNA", at positions 29 to 154 of the family's 154-position model. Rfam says of the family: 5.8S ribosomal RNA (5.8S rRNA) is a component of the large subunit of the eukaryotic ribosome. It is transcribed by RNA polymerase I as part of the 45S precursor that also contains 18S and 28S rRNA. Functionally, it is thought that 5.8S rRNA may be involved in ribosome translocation. Lineage: Eukaryota; Viridiplantae; Streptophyta; Magnoliopsida; Gentianales; Loganiaceae. The record is from RNAcentral.